This 786-nucleotide long non-coding RNA is filed under the name Phasianus colchicus (ring-necked pheasant). RNAcentral describes it as "lncRNA (ENSPCLG00000006985.1)". The record is from RNAcentral. Lineage: Eukaryota; Metazoa; Chordata; Aves; Galliformes; Phasianidae.
GGAAGUUUUAUCACUUUGGCUCUACAUCACUUGGGAAGAUGUGCAGCAUCUGCGCAGCACUGUGCAUGCAGUGGAGACUGCUGAUAAGAAGGAACAGAUGGUAGCACCAUCCUGUCUCAGCACCAAACACUGUCUGGGAGAUGUAUGCAAUGUAAAAAGCAUCCCUGUGUGGAGAAGCAGAUAGUGCUCCUGCAAAGUCUCUUUAUCAGACAGAGAUGCGUUCGCUUUGUGAAUGGGAAACUGAAACAUGGAGAUAUUCUGACAGCUCCCAGGGAAGGAUGGAAACCCUCCUGUUCACAUCCUGGAGAUGACCCACUCAUCACAGCCCUGGGGAGAAGAUUCGUGUACCUGGUGCACAGGAGGCGCAGAGCAGGGCAGCUUGCAUCAUUCCCCUGCUGCUGGCAAGCAAUGUGCCCCAGCUUAUAGCAAAAAUACACGUGCAGAGGGAACCGAAGUUGAGCCUGCAGUCACCAAACUUGCCUGCACAAACUCCUUGGAAACAACUGUACACGUUGCAUCAAAAGAUACACAUCUUUUGCUCUCUCCUCUUGAGCACUGAAAGGAUAUUAUUUUGAAAGUGACUACAUCGCAGCCAUUUCUCAGCUCCUUUGCAAACAGAAGAGAACUUUGCAUUAAGAAGGGUUUUUUUGUGUGUGUGUGUGUGUUUGUUUGUUUGUUUUCUGAAAUUAAAUGUUUUUAUCCUUUCUUUUUUGGGGGGGAGGGGAGAAGAGUCAUUUUUAUAAGUUUAGAAAUAAAGAGGCAAAAGUUCUGUUCUGUGGUUUUUUG